AGCACUAAAAUAUGUAUGUUGCUUUGGAGAAAAGCAUCUGCUAAAUGAAUAAAU
This is a regulatory RNA element of Scleropages formosus (Asian bonytongue), 54 nucleotides long. It matches the Rfam family "UnaL2 LINE 3' element". From Rfam's summary of the family: The eel long interspersed element (LINE) UnaL2 and its partner short interspersed element (SINE) share a conserved 3' tail containing a stem-loop that is critical for their retrotransposition. Presumably, the first step of retrotransposition is the recognition of their 3' tails by UnaL2-encoded reverse transcriptase. The record is from Rfam. Lineage: Eukaryota; Metazoa; Chordata; Actinopteri; Osteoglossiformes; Osteoglossidae.